AUGCGCGCGCUUUUUUGGAACCUGCGGGGCUUUGGCCACGAUGGCCGCCGCAGGCAGCUCAUUGACUACAUGCGCGAUGAGUCCAUUGAUGUGGUAGCAAUUCAAGAAACGAUGCGCACCGAGUUCUCUCUUGUUGAACUUGAGCGACUCAGCAGACAUCUGUUUGCAUGGCAUUGGCUGCCAUCUAGUGGAGUGAUAGGUCACUCGGGUGGCAUCCUCCUAGGGGUGAAGGAUGCGACCUUUGAGGUGGGAUCCAUGGACCAUGGAUCCCACUUCGUUAGCAUGGAGGUGUGGGAACGUGAUGUGAACUUCAAGUGGGAGAUCAUUGUGGUUUAUGGCCCUGCCGACCAUAGCUGCUCGGCCGCUUUCUUCGCCGAGCUCCGCAUCAAGAUCUCCUCUGCGACCCUCCCCGUGGUUGUUGGGGGGGGGGGGGCUUCAACCUUCUGCGCGCUCCAGAGGAUAAGAGUAAUUCGCGCGUAG
This 480-nucleotide ribosomal RNA is filed under the name Triticum aestivum (bread wheat). RNAcentral describes it as "partial small subunit ribosomal RNA". The record is from RNAcentral. Lineage: Eukaryota; Viridiplantae; Streptophyta; Magnoliopsida; Poales; Poaceae.